Molecule: long non-coding RNA, 305 nt
Organism: Rhinolophus ferrumequinum (greater horseshoe bat)
Lineage: Eukaryota; Metazoa; Chordata; Mammalia; Chiroptera; Rhinolophidae
Exons: 3
Source: RefSeq, a predicted model, not a curated record
GCCGCGAACCUGCCCCCGGAGCCUGGGAGUGAGGGGUGGGAAGGAGGGAAGGCUGCGCGUGGGCAGUCUGGCCCGAAACUCCCCGCAAGCUUUCCUCCGCGACUGGAGGCAAAAGGGGGCGUGUAGAAAAUCUCAUCGAACAGGGACUUCCACAGCGGGCUCCCCGCCGGCCGAAGAGCCCCCUCCCCAAAAUGAGGAGCCUCCACAGAAAUGCCUUCUCCGUAAAAUCGGGGAAUCCUUCCCGCUCUGGGUGACUGGAUGCUGAGAAAGAAAGUUCUUCGGUGUGUAAGCUCCAGGCUUUGUUC